This 253-nucleotide ribosomal RNA is filed under the name uncultured bacterium. RNAcentral's name for it is "partial 16S ribosomal RNA". It matches the Rfam family "Bacterial small subunit ribosomal RNA", at positions 524 to 776 of the family's 1533-position model. The record is from RNAcentral.
UACAGAGGGUGCAAACGUUGUUCGGAAUCACUGGGCAUAAAGGGUGCGUAGGUGGGUCUGUAAGUCAGUGGUGAAAUCUCCGAGCUUAACUCGGAAACUGCCAUUGAUACUAUAGGUCUUGAAUUAUCUGGAGGUGAGCGGAAUAUGUCAUGUAGCGGUGAAAUGCUUAGAUAUGACAUAGAACACCAAUUGCGAAGGCAGCUCACUACGGAUAUAUUGACACUGAGGCACGAAAGCGUGGGGAUCAAACAGG